AUCAGCUGCCAGCGUCCCGUCGCCCCACGAUUAUUGAGCUCCACACUUUGGCACAAAGAGUGUUGGCUCAAGAGCAGAUUAAGCACGUCCAAGCCGACAGCCUCAAGCAAGAGAAGUGAGCGUCAUGCAGUCUCCAACGACUGAGUGCGACGACACUGCAGCAAUCCAGGGAAUGUUAAGAUUUCAGCUGUCAUUUAAAGGAAAAAAAUCACAAGGCUAAUGAAAUGAGUGUUGGCCCAAGAGCAGAUUGAGCACGUCCAAGCCGACAGCCUCAAGCAAGAGAAGUGAGCGUCAUGCAGUCUCCAACGAUGGAGUGCGACGACACUGCAGCAAUCCAGGGAAUGUUAAGAUUUCAGUUGUCAUUUAAAAGAGAAAAAUCACAAGGCUAAUGAAAUGUACUCGUACUACUGCAUUAAAUUAGCUUUGUUUUCUUACAAUUGGUUGAGGGGAAAUAACAUGUUAAUUGCAUUAUAAAAUGAUGUUAUAUAGUGAACGGUCCUGUUUCCGUGCCAUUGACAGAGAAAGACACCCGGCUCAGUUUUAACCAGGAGGGUUUCUGGCCAGUCCUCCUGGUCAAAUGGAUGGGACGUCCUUCACUGUCAAAUCUAGAUUUUACAAAACCUCUUUGUAGGGAUUUUGUAAUGUUGACAGUGACAAUGUGUUUUUUUUUAAACAAAUUAACAAGUGAUGAUAAUGCAUGUGUUGGCCCAAGGGCAGAUUGAGCACUUCCAAGCCGUCUGCCUCAAGCAGGAGAAGAGAGCGUCACUCCAAUGACACCAAGCGCAACAACACUGCAGCAAUCCAGGGAAUGCUCGUCUUUGUUAUUUAAGACAAAAAUCACAAAGCUAAUGACAUGUAUUAGUACUACAGCACUUGCUUAAUACUGCUUAAUCCAUGCUGUGUUUUCUUAGAAUUGGUUGGGGAAAAAAAAAAAUAAUUGAGUUGCAUUAUAAAAUGGUGUAUAUUGUGAACGGUCUCAUUCAGUGCCAAUGACUGAGAAAGACCUCUGAUCAGUUUUAACCAGGAGGGUUUCUGGCCAGUCCUCCUGGUCAAAUGGAUCUGACUACUUUUGCCGUCAACGACAGAUUUUACGAAAGCUCUUUGUAGGGAUUUUGUACUGUUGACUGUGUGUAUUUAACCAAUUAAGUGUUAGUAUUCAGAGUAUAUACAUAACAGUUGUAAAAUACAAUGUAUAUAUGGCAAAGAUAUAACUGGAUUCAUUUGUGGUGCCAGGACUGGUGGCGCAAGAGCCUCGAGCAGAUUGAGCACGUCCAAGCCGCCAGUGUCACCGCGUCAGUCUCCAACGAUGUCGAGCAUGGUCACGGCAGCAAUCCAGGAAAUGUCGAGCUUGUAGUUUGAUCAUCGUGUAUCAAUUGGCAACUGACAUCUGUUCUUUCGAUAGGACAGGUGAUAUUUGGAGAUGAAGAUCAGCAGUGACCUUGCAAAGUGGAUAUUCUGAGUGUCAUCAGAUGUUGGGAGACCAGAAGUCACCGAGAGCACAGCCUGAUUGGAAUUGUUGCCAUUUGUCAAAGAUGAGUAUUCAAAAGCCCUACUUUAUUAAAAAAAGAUGUAAAAAUGUCCAUAUGUAGUAUAAAAAAUAGUACUGAAGAUGCUUUUAAAGCCUUUGAUUAACUAUGGAGGACCAGUAGUGCCAGUGUAAAAUAUCAGGUUCAUGUUAGAAUAUUUACUUAUUCCUUUAUGUCAGUAUUGUCAAAUCUUAAAAUGGUUGGGUGCCCUUUAUCUUCCCAAAAAUGAUUUAGUAAAUAUUUUUAAAAUUUUUUUUGUUUCCCAGGGGGAAAAACAGGCAAUUUUAAGGUGGCAAUAUUUCAACUUUUGUCAUUUCAACUUUUAUUCAUUGUCUCGAUCAAUGGCGCCGCAAUGAAACAAAAGUGAAAUGGAGAAUGUUGAAAUGCAGAAAUAAAUGAAUAUUGUGCAAUGGAAAUAUAGAACUCUUAAAAUAUAAACUAAAGUUGGAAUAUAAAAUUACUCAUACAAAAUAUUUAACUAUGAACAUCUUAAUGAAACAUUUAACUAAAAAUGAUAAAUUUCCCUGAUUUCCACCUUUUGUGCAACUUGUUUUCGGGAGAACCCAACGACAGGAAUUUUCCUAAAUGGUUCAGGUUGGACGUACGAGCAGCUUCUGAUGUCUAUUUUAACUGUCAUAAGGAAGACCCUUGCCUGCUUGGCACUCAUUGGUGAGCCUUUAUGUAACAGUAGGGGCCAUUCAGUCGUUUCUUGGUGUAAUAAUUUUCCAGUUAAGCUUAAGUGGAGCGUAAUGAACUGCUGGAAAAGCAACAUUGACAGGUACUGUAUGUCAAGCCUUUUAGGUGUUAUUUAAAAGAGGGGGGGGGGGGGAAUUUUAUCUACUUGUACUAUUGCAACCGCUUAAUACUCAUUGCUUUAAAUUAGCUGGUGUGUAUUCUUACAACUGGUUAAUAAAAUGGCAUAGUGUUAAUUGCCUCAUAGAAUAGAAAAACUGUUGUAAAAUUUCAAAACGUAUAAAGUGAACGAUCCUGUUUUGGUGCCAUUGACUGCCGCGGACACCCGAUCAGUUUUACCGGGAGGGGUCUGGCCAGUCCUCCCGGUCAAACGGAUCGGACGUCUUUUGCCGUCAAAGCCAGAUUUGACAAAAGCCGUUAGAGUAAGUAGGGCUUUUGUACAGUUGACUGGAACUGAACAAAUUGUAUAUUUAACCAAUUAUUUUUUUAGUGUAUACAUAAGUUGUAAAAUACAAUGUAUAUGGUGGAAAACACUCAGGUGACUUGAAGUUCCGCUCUGAGACCCCCAAUUUGGCCAAAUUUCAAAAUUGUUCUCAAUGCAUGUGUGAUACAUCAUUGGAAAGCUUAAAAUCUCAAUUUGCUGGGGUAAGAAAACAUUUGAACAGGAGGGCAUUUUGGAAACAUUUUAAACAGCAAAAUCCUAACUGGAGGUGAGAGCACGCGAGAGCAGAAUUAAAGACGCCAUGUUUUUCACGAGAUAUUAUUGCGUACUUAGCUUGUUUCGAUACAAAAACUCCAUGUAGCAUGUAUCAUCGAGUGUUAAGACAAAGGUGUGAAUGGCCACAGCCGGAUUUGGGGGGGAUUUUAUGGGUGAAACAUGGUAAUAUAACAAGGGUCGUGAUACAGAUAUCGCAGACGUCAAGGAGUGGUCGAGAUUUUCUUUUUCAUAUAUUUACCCUUUUAAAAUUUUUGUUUGGAUUAAUCAUUUAUCUAAAAUAUCAGAGAAAAUGCGACAGUAACGAAAAAUACAACUAAGCACUAUGAGCUAGAUAUCCGUGACUUUUUUUAGACACAAUUUUUCAUUGUGACAUAAUUCGUUUAAAAUAUGCGAGUGAAUAAUUUUUUUGUCUUAAACUAAAAUUUGCACAUCAAUUAACGAUUCUAAGAUAAAAAUGGGACAUUUUGAAUAAUAAAUGUAAUUGAGGGCUAGGUUGAAAAAAAGUGGUUGCGCGGCGUCUGUAAACGGGGUUUUUUUAGGGUAAAACUGGCAAAUUAAAAAUAGUUCGGAGGCUUAGUGUGCCAUGAAUCUGCUAUGGCAGCAUAUAGAAAUAUUGUUCUAUCAAACACAAGUUAUUUUGGCUUAAAAUUCAAGUUUCUUUUAAAGAGUGCAAUAGCAGAAACUGCUUUUUCAGUCGUCUGUUUUCCGCCAUAUAUUGCAUGAAUAUGGCAAAAUAUAACCUAGAUUCAUUUGGUUCCAGGAGUGCCGACGCAAGAGCAGAUUGAGCACGUCCAUGCCACCAGCUUCAAGCAGGAGAAGCAAGAGUUGGUCUCCAAUGACAGUGUGGCGACACUGCAGCAAACCCGGGAAUGUUAAGCUUUCAGUUGUCAUUUAAAAGAAAAUAACUAAGCUAAUGAAAUGUACUAGUGCAACAGCUUAAUGUAUGCUUUAAAUUGGCUGGUUUUCUUAUUGGGGUGGGGUGGGGAAUUAUGUGUUAAUUGCAUUAAGAAAUUCAAAACUUGUAUAGUGAACGGUCCCGUUUCAGUGCCAUUGACAGCGACCGACUUCCGAUCCAUUUUAACCAGGAGGGGUCUGGCCAGUCCUCCUGGUUAAAUAAAUAGGAUGUCUUCUGCUGUCAACGGCAGAUUUUACAAAAUAAUUAGGACUUUUGACAAAGAACAAAUUGUAUGUUUAACCAAUUAAGUGUUAGUAUCCUGAGUAUAUACAUAAGUUGUAAAAUACAAUGUAUGUAUUGCAUGAAUAUGGCAAAAUAUAACUAAUUCAUCUGUGGUUCCAGGAGUGUUGGUUCAAGAACAGAUUGAGUACGUCCAAUGCCGCCAGCUUAAAGCAGGACAAGAGAGCGUCUCUCAAAUGACCGUGCGACGACACUGCAGUAAUCCAGGGAAUGUUAAGUUCUCAGUUGUCAUUUAAAAGGCGGGGGGGAAGCACAAAGCUAAUAAAAAGUACUAUUGCAACUGUUUAAAUCUAUGCAUUAAGUCGUCAGUUUUCUUCUAAAAAUUGUGUUAAUUCCAUUUUAAAAAAUGCAAAACGAUGUUUAUAGUGAACGAUCCAUUGACAGAUGGCAGUCUGAUCCAAUUUAACCGGGAGGGGUCUGGCCAGCCCUCCCAGUCAAAUGGAUUGGCACUUUGGCCAUCAGCAGUAUUUUUACAAAAGCUUAGAAUAAGUAGGACUUUUGACGGUAGUGCAUAUUUUACCUAUUAAGUGUUACUAAGAAUUGAUCAUGAAUUUUUUUUACAGGAGUGUUGGCCCAAGAGCAGAUUGAACAUGUCCGAGCUGUCAGCCUCAAGCAAGGGAAGAGAGCGUCUCUCCAAUGACGCCAAGUGCGACAGCACUGCAGCAAUCCAGGGAAUGUUAAGCUUUCAGUUGUCAAGUUAAAAUUUCUAAGCUAAUGAAGUGCGCUAGCAUUACUACAACUGCUUAAUCUAUGCAUUAAAUUAGCAGCUUGUUUUCCUACAAUUGGUUGGGGUAAAACAAUCACGUGUUAAUUGCAUUAAAAAAUAGAAAAAUUUAUAGCGAAUGGUCCUGUUUCCGUGCCAUUGACUACGACCGACUUACGAUCCAUUUUGACCAGGAGGGGGCUGGCCAAUCCUCCUGGUAAAAUGGCUCGCGCAAAUUUUGCCGUCAAUGGCAGAUUUUAGAAAAGAUGUUACUGAUUAGGACUUCUAUACUUUUAACACAGAACAAAAUGUAUAACUAAUAAGUGUUAGUAUCAGGUGUAAAAUACAAUGUAUAUAUUGCAUGAAUAUAGCAAAAUGUAACUAGUUUCACUUGUGGUUCCAGGAAUGUUGGCCCAAGAGCAGAUUGAGCUCAUCCAUGCCGCUCCAGCCUCAAGCAGAAUAGCGUCAGUCUCCAAUGACGUCAAGCGCGACAACACUGCAGCAUUCCAGGGAAUGCUUACCUUUCAGUUGUCAUUUGAAGAGAAAAUCACUUAGCUAAUGAAAUGCACAAGUACUGCAAAUGCUUAAUACGGCUCAAUCUUUACAUUAAAUUAGCUGGAUUGUUUUCUUAUAUAAAUUGUGUUAAUUCCAUUAAAAAGAGGCAGAACGAUAUUUUAAAUGCUAUUGACAGAAAUGGAAGUCCGAUCCAAUUUAACUGGGGGGGUCUGGCCAGCCCUCUGUCAAAUGGAUCUGAAGUCUUUUGCCAUCAGCGGGAGACUUUUUACAAAAGCUUAGAAUAUGUAGGACUUUUAACCGUACUGUGUAUAUUUUACCAAUUAACGAGUGUUGAUACAUGUUUCCAGGAAUGUUGGCCCAAAAACAGAUUGAACACAUCCAAGCCGUCAGCCUCAAGCAGAAGCGAGCGUCACUCCAACGAUGACACUGCAGCAAUCCAGGGAAUGUUGAGCUUUCAGUUGUCAUAUAAAAGGGAAAAAACCGCUAAGCUCAUGAAAUGGACACAUACAAAACGUGUAAAAAGUGACCGAUCCAGUUUCAAUGCCAUUGACAAACUGUCCGAUCCAAUUGAACCGGCAGGGAUCUGGCCAGUCCUCCCGGUGAAAUGGAUCGGACGUCUUUUGCCACCAACGGCAGAUUUGAUUAACAAUUUAAAUUGCAUGCAUGUUUAUUUUAUUGAACAGCCAAACAUGAUGAAUGAAAAGUAAAUAUUUCUUUCACUGCAGGACAAUCAUUUUGAAGGAAUGGAGUACAAUUCACCCAGUUAAGUAUACCUGUAAUAUUGAAAAGAAUCCCAAUCUAACAAUACAGUUAUUAAUAAUGCAUGUACUAUUCCAGGAGUCUGGAACAGAUUUGAGCACGUCCCAGCACGGGAAGCAAGUACCUGCACAGCAGCCGUAUUGGCCCAACUUUCCUCCGGGUGUAUGCGAAGUCACUGCAACGAUCCAGGACUGAUAUUUUUAGAUCAGCAGUGAUCUUGCAAAGUGGAUCUUCUCUGCAGUUGACCAGUGUCAUCAGAUUUUGGGAGUCCAGAAGAGAUUGUAAAUCUUGCCAUUUGUCAAAGAUGAGUAUUCAAAAGCCUUCCUGUGAUUUAAACAAAAAAAAAAAACAAAAAAAAACAUAUAUCAAGUCUUCCAGAUUUAGUAUAAAAACGGAACUGCUGAACAUGCUUUUAACGAUGGAGGACCAGUAGUGCCAAUAUUAAAUGUUAAUGUUUGAAAAUGACAUUUAAUUAUUUAAUUUCAAUAUUCUCAUUUUAAAAUAGUUGCCCAAGUCUUAUGUUGCCCAAAAAAUGAUUUAUUAAAUAUAGUUUAAAAUGAAGCAAAUCUUCUGUUUUUUUGCCAGGGGGGAUUUUAAGACUGUGGCAAUAUUUCUUGCAACUUUCCUCAUUAUUUCAACUUUUAUUCAUUGUCUCGAUCAAAGGCGCCGCAAUGAAAUAAAAGUGAAAUAGAAAAUGACGAAAUGCACAACUAUAUGAAUAAUUGCAAUUGAAAUAUAUAUAUAUAUAUAUUUUUUAAGAACAAGCGCUCUAAAUGAAACAUCCAAUUUUUUUUUUUUUUUUUUUUAAAUAGUUGUGUAUCUACAUUAUUUUGAUACUCCGGGUCCUCCAUGUUAGUUGACGUUGCAUUCAAAUUCAUUUAAGAUGGGAAGGUCGUAUUUGCUCAUCUUUGAGGGCCAUUAAUGAUACUUGAUGUCCAAUCUGUUAAGCUUCAUUCACUCCCAGCAUCAUGUUUAACUGCAUUAUUAUAUGUACACUGAGCAUGUCAUCAAUCAUCGACUGCCAUUGACAAGGAUGGGAAAUUACAUCACGGCAGGCAUGGAAUUUUAUUUGUGCAAAGGAUGGCCAAGCUGUUUUGACCAGGAGGUGGCUGGCCAGACCUCCCAGUCAAGGGCAGCUAAUAGAUGAAUCAAACACUAUCAUUAAUUACCUUUUUUAGUGCAGGAUCUUUAUAGUUAAUAUGUUGAAGUAACUGUUCGGUCAUUAAAGAAUUUUACAGCAAAUCUGCUAUAUCGAUUGUUGUCCAUGGCAGUCUGAGACCUGAAUACAUGUUCAGACCCAAAGCGAAACUGUUAGCCAAUUUAUCUGAAUAAAGGUGUAAUGCACAGAUGUCUAUUGAUGUCAAUUAGUUUGUACAGAGGUGCUUGCAGCCCUCCCAAGUCUUGCAUGUAUGGUACCAAAAUACUGAAGUGAAAAUGCAUUAUUUGCACUGAUGCCCUUUUUUGGCCCUUGAUGUAUAAUGACUGCUAAUCCUGUAAUUUUAUGCAACGUUCCUGGGCCACUAUUCAACAAUUUCUGUGCUCAAUG
Molecule: long non-coding RNA, 7656 nt
Organism: Corythoichthys intestinalis (scribbled pipefish)
Lineage: Eukaryota; Metazoa; Chordata; Actinopteri; Syngnathiformes; Syngnathidae
Exons: 4
Source: RefSeq, a predicted model, not a curated record